This is a non-coding RNA of Pogona vitticeps (central bearded dragon), 621 nucleotides long. The record is from RefSeq and is a predicted model, not a curated record. NCBI's taxonomy places the organism in Eukaryota, Metazoa, Chordata, Lepidosauria, Squamata, Agamidae.
CUUUUGACACCACAAGAAAUAUUUAAGAAUAUUUCUCACAUUAGACGGAAUGCACGUUUGAACUUUUAAAUACAAGAAUUAAAUCCCCAGAAACUUCAAAACUAGCAAGUCAAGGAAAAAAAAAACUGGCUGGAUUUUGUUAAAUGAAGCUCAGCUUUGAAAUCAUCAGCUUUACUUAUUUGAAAAGAGGAGUCUGAGAUUUGUAAGGCAAGAGUCUAGGUCCGAAUUAAUAAGCAUAAUUAGAAAAGAUUAAACGUAUCAGAGGAAGAGAAGAGCAUCUGUUGCCAGCAGGAUAAUGUCAGGGCUUUACAUAAUGCAAAUGGGAUUUUCGAGGAAUAGCUAAUGUCAUGGUGGUAUGUAUUCACUAAGGAGAGGCAGCCAUGUUUUUCCAGCAGAAAAAUACCAAGAGGUGGAUUCAUGCCCCUCUAUCAGCAACAUCCCUCCCUUUUACAUUUCAGCGCUGUGGGUUAAAGCAGUAUGUCUGACUCUGCUUUCUGAAAUAAUAAGCCCCAUGAGCAAACAGUUUUUACCACCAUGAUGUUCUUCCAAACGUUUGGUUUCAAUUGGGGUGCACACAUCACCCAUCCCCUCUUCGAAGGUUCUCGGUUAAUCACUCCGUGG